This 510-nucleotide ribosomal RNA is filed under the name uncultured bacterium. RNAcentral describes it as "partial 16S ribosomal RNA". It matches the Rfam family "Bacterial small subunit ribosomal RNA", at positions 28 to 507 of the family's 1533-position model. The record is from RNAcentral.
GACGAACGCUGGCGGCGUGCUUAACACAUGCAAGUCGAACGAAGAGCGAUGGAAGCUUGCUUCUAUCAAUCUUAGUGGCGAACGGGUGAGUAACGCGUAAUCAACCUGCCCUUCAGAGGGGGACAACAGUUGGAAACGACUGCUAAUACCGCAUACGAUCUAAUCUCGGCAUCGAGGAUAGAUGAAAGGUGGCCUCUACAUGUAAGCUAUCACUGAAGGAGGGGAUUGCGUCUGAUUAGCUAGUUGGAGGGGUAACGGCCCACCAAGGCGAUGAUCAGUAGCCGGUCUGAGAGGAUGAACGGCCACAUUGGGACUGAGACACGGCCCAGACUCCUACGGGAGGCAGCAGUGGGGAAUCUUCCGCAAUGGACGAAAGUCUGACGGAGCAACGCGGCGUGAGUGAUGACGGCCUUCGGGUUGUAAAGCUCUGUUAAUCGGGACGAAAGGCCUUCUUGCGAAUAGUGAGAAGGAUUGACGGUACCGGAAUAGAAAGCCACGGCUAACUACGUG